CAUAGCGUAUAUUUAAGUUGUUGCAGUUAAAAAGCUCGUAGUUGGAUUUCGGGCGGGUGACGGCGGUCCGCCUCUGGUGUGCACUGCCGUUCAUCCGCCUUUCUGUCGGGGACGGGCUCCUGGGCUUCACUGUCCGGGACUCGGGUUCGACGAGGUUACUUUGAGUAAAUUAGAGUGUUCAAAGCAGGCGAUCGCCCUGAAUACAUUAGCAUGGAAUAGCACGAUAGGACUCUGGCCUAUUUUGCUGGUCUGUAGGACCGGAGUAAUGAUUAAGAGGGACAGUCGGGGGCAUUCGUAUUUCAUUGUCAGAGGUGAAAUUCUUGGAUUUAUGAAAGACGAACUUCUGCGAAAGCAUUUGCCAAGGAUGUUUUCAUUGAUCAAGAACGAAAGUUGGGGGCUCGAAGACGAUUAGAUACCGUCGUAGUCUCAACCAUAAACGAUGCCGACCAGGGAUUGGAAAGCGUUCUUUUGAUGACCUUUCCAGCACCUUGAGAGAAAUCAGAGUCUUUGGGUUCCGGGGGGAGUAUGGUCGCAAGGCUGAAACUUAAAG
This 550-nucleotide ribosomal RNA is filed under the name uncultured marine picoplankton. RNAcentral describes it as "SSU rRNA". It matches the Rfam family "Eukaryotic small subunit ribosomal RNA", at positions 593 to 1149 of the family's 1831-position model. The record is from RNAcentral.